AAGGCCCUUCGGGGUACACGAGCGGCGAACGGGUGAGUAACACGUGGGUGAUCUGCCCUGUACUUCGGGAUAAGCCUGGGAAACUGGGUCUAAUACCGGAUAUGACCUUACAUCGCAUGGUGUUUGGUGGAAAGAUUUAUCGGUACAGGAUGGGCCCGCGGCCUAUCAGCUUGUUGGUGGGGUAAUGGCCUACCAAGGCGACGACGGGUAGCCGGCCUGAGAGGGCGACCGGCCACACUGGGACUGAGACACGGCCCAGACUCCUACGGGAGGCAGCAGUGGGGAAUAUUGCACAAUGGGCGAAAGCCUGAUGCAGCGACGCCGCGUGAGGGAUGACGGCCUUCGGGUUGUAAACCUCUUUCGACAGGGACGAAGCGCAAGUGACGGUACCUGUAGAAGAAGCACCGGCCAACUACGUGCCAGCAGCCGCGGUAAUACGUAGGGUGCGAGCGUUGUCCGGAAUUACUGGGCGUAAAGAGCUUGUAGGCGGUUUGUCGCGUCGUCCGUGAAAACUUGGGGCUCAACCCCAAGCUUGCGGGCGAUACGGGCAGACUUGAGUACUGCAGGGGAGACUGGAAUUCCUGGUGUAGCGGUGAAAUGCGCAGAUAUCAGGAGGAACACCGGUGGCGAAGGCGGGUCUCUGGGCAGUAACUGACGCUGAGAAGCGAAAGCGUGGGUAGCGAACAGGAUUAGAUACCCUGGUAGUCCACGCCGUAAACGGUGGGCGCUAGGUGUGGGUUUCCUUCCACGGGAUCCGUGCCGUAGCUAACGCAUUAAGCGCCACGCCUGGCGAGUACAGCCGCAAGGCUAAAACUCAAACGAAUUGACGGGGGCCAGCACAAGCGGCGUUGUAGCAUGUGAAUUAAUUAAAUGCAACGCAAACAAUCAUUACCUGGAAUUGACAUACAACGGAUAGACCUCCUACAGAUGUAGGCCCCCUUGUGGUCGGUGUACAGGUGGUGCAUGGCUGUCGUCAGCUCGUGUCGUGAGAUGUUGGGUUAAGUCCCGCAACGAGCGCAACCCUUGUCCUGUGUUGCCAGCGCGUUAUGGCGGGGACUCGCAGGAGACUGCCGGGGUCAACUCGGAGGAAGGUGGGGACGACGUCAAGUCAUCAUGCCCCUUAUGUCCAGGGCUUCACACAUGCUACAAUGGCCGGUACAGAGGGCUGCGAUACCGUGAGGUGGAGCGAAUCCCUUAAAGCCGGUCUCAGUUCGGAUCGGGGUCUGCAACUCGACCCCGUGAAGUUGGAGUCGCUAGUAAUCGCAGAUCAGCAACGCUGCGGUGAAUACGUUCCCGGGCCUUGUACACACCGCCCGUCACGUCAUGAAAGUCGGUAACACCCGAAGCCGGUGGCCUAACUCUU
This 1363-nucleotide ribosomal RNA is filed under the name Nocardia farcinica. RNAcentral's name for it is "bacterial SSU rRNA". It matches the Rfam family "Bacterial small subunit ribosomal RNA", at positions 72 to 1443 of the family's 1533-position model. Lineage: Bacteria; Bacillati; Actinomycetota; Actinomycetes; Mycobacteriales; Nocardiaceae. The record is from RNAcentral.